RNAcentral lists this ribosomal RNA (497 nucleotides) under uncultured bacterium. Its description in RNAcentral is "partial 16S ribosomal RNA". It matches the Rfam family "Bacterial small subunit ribosomal RNA", at positions 28 to 507 of the family's 1533-position model. The record is from RNAcentral.
GAUGAACGCUGGCGGCGUGCCUAAUACAUGCAAGUCGAGCGAACAGACGAGGAGCUUGCUCCUUUGACGUUAGCGGCGGACGGGUGAGUAACACGUAGGUAACCUACCUAUAAGACUGGGAUAACUUCGGGAAACCGGAGCUAAUACCGGAUAAUAUUUCGAACCGCAUGGUUCAAUAGUGAAAGAUGGCUUUGCUGUCACUUAUAGAUGGACCUGCGCCGUAUUAGCUAGUUGGUAAGGUAACGGCUUACCAAGGCAACGAUACGUAGCCGACCUGAGAGGGUGAUCGGCCACACUGGAACUGAGACACGGUCCAGACUCCUACGGGAGGCAGCAGUAGGGAAUCUUCCGCAAUGGGCGAAAGCCUGACGGAGCAACGCCGCGUGAGUGAUGAAGGUCUUCGGAUCGUAAAACUCUGUUAUUAGGGAAGAACAAACGUGUAAGUAACUGUGCACGUCUUGACGGUACCUAAUCAGAAAGCCACGGCUAACUACGUG